GACGAACGCUGGCGGCGUGCUUAACACAUGCAAGUCGAGCGACUGCAUUCUUUUCGGAGGGUGUAUGGAGCGGCGAACGGGUGAGUAACACGUGAGUAAUCUGCCUUUGGCUUGGGAAUAACUUCGGGAAAUCGGGGCUAAUGCCUGAUGUUUACUGUCUGCUGCAUGGUGGGUGGUGGAAAGAUUUUUGUCGACGGAGUGAGC
RNAcentral lists this ribosomal RNA (204 nucleotides) under uncultured bacterium. RNAcentral's name for it is "partial 16S ribosomal RNA". It matches the Rfam family "Bacterial small subunit ribosomal RNA", at positions 28 to 230 of the family's 1533-position model. The record is from RNAcentral.